RNAcentral lists this microRNA (22 nucleotides) under Mus musculus (house mouse). Its description in RNAcentral is "mmu-miR-467d-3p". Its record names the gene mmu-miR-467d-3p. Lineage: Eukaryota; Metazoa; Chordata; Mammalia; Rodentia; Muridae. The record is from miRBase by way of RNAcentral.
AUAUACAUACACACACCUACAC